Molecule: long non-coding RNA, 10255 nt
Organism: Hemicordylus capensis (graceful crag lizard)
Lineage: Eukaryota; Metazoa; Chordata; Lepidosauria; Squamata; Cordylidae
Exons: 4
Source: RefSeq, a predicted model, not a curated record
CUGAAUAAUGCUGACAUAGUAUACGUGGCAGUAAAAUGGUGGACUAAGUAUCUAGUUACAACAACCCUGUGAGGCAGGCCAAUCAUUUGAGUUGUAGGCUCUGUGUCGCCCAGCAAGUGUCUUGGCUGAAUGAGGAUUUGGACUCGGGUUUUCCCGGUCCUAUUCCAGCACUCUAACCACUGCACUACGUUGGCUGACAAUCAUACUCACAGUCCUUUGUCAGGGCAAUCAAUCUCCAUCCAGUAUAACUGACUUCAUCGUCAGUAACGUGUAGAUAGUUGUGGUGUCCCCGUUCUCCAUCUUUAGCCUCAUAAUUAACCAGUCACUGAUGGAUUCAAGUUUGGGUUUGACAUUUCUGUAAAGUGAAAACAACCUCUCGAGACAAGGAAAAAGAUAGCCCACACAGUAUGUCCAGUGAGAUACUAUACCUUGGUAAAGUAGGAUUGUUUACUACACAAAUUACACAGGCUGUUGCCACAUGUUCUGCAAAAGGGUACAUCCAAGAGGCACAAAAGUGUCUUUGUAUUGACUAGGAAAAACCAAAGGAUUGGUUCUGCAAGAAUUCCACAUCCAUCUGCUGUUCUUUACCAGCUAUCCUCUUCUAAAUGCGCCCCCCUGCUGUGGUGCAAAGUCAAUGUCCUUUUUCUGAAUAUGGGGUGCCAAGAUAGUUAGCACAGGAAUCAAAGAUGCUUGGAAACAGGAAUAGAAGGAGCAGCGGUUUUAGCUGCAGCAUCUGCCAUCCAUUUACCCUUUGUCACUGGGUCAGUUUCCUCUGGUGACCUCUGGUAUGGAUGACUGCAACCUCUUCUAGUAGUGUAACAGCAGUCUAGAGUUCUGAUAUCUGUGUCCCAUAUUUUACUUCCUUGUUUCCCACUGUUAAAAUCUUCUUUCUUUCCAAGUGGCCCCAGGAGUUGUGUAAAAAUUACCUUGAAGGUGAUGAGCUCUGCAAGCUGUGCUGAGAUACCUGGAGAAAGAGCAUGGUCAGUCGCUUCUCCAUAGCCAGCUUACGUUGUCCAUCUUACAUGAAGCUGCCUCCAUCUGUGUACAGUUCAUCUUUAAGAUCAGAAUGGCUUGGCAUAGAUGCAGUCCACAGCUUGCAAGCAAUCAUGUUCUUGGUCUUCUGUAGACUCAAAAGGAAGUAAGUUAGCUGGAUUAAGAACAAAAGUAGUAGCCAUGGAAACCCCAGGAUUCCUCACCAAAGUCACAUGAUAUUUGGUCAUGUGUGGGGGAGUCGGGGGUCAGCCAUCUAUUGCCCCAGACUAAUCCCCUUUUAGCUGGGAAGAACCGAUGAGUAAGGGUUUGGGGUUUGACAUCUUUGUAGGGUAACAAUAUCCUCUUGGGGGGGGGGACCUGUAUAAGAAGGAAACAGUCCAUGCCCCCAGGCAGAAUACUAUACCUUGAUGACAUAGGACUUCUGGACGGGGCCUAAUGUCUCAUGAAGCAAAUUAAAGUGUCCCUUUUUCACAGGCCUCUUUAGUAAAAGGUAAAAAUUGUCCAUAAUCUUGCAGAGGGGUAAAACUUGUGAUAAUAAAGUCAAGUCUCUCAUCAGGAGCUGUGAAAACAGGGUAUGGGUUUCACAGUAACACACAAAGCUUGAUCCUGUCAAACUGGGAAGUCUUCUAGGUAAAAUGCAAAUUGGUACUUUGGAACUCCCUUCCACUUGCAGGAGUGGCAAAACAAAAUUCCUUUCAUCAAAUUGCAUAUCUGGGAUCUGGAAUUUUUAGAUUCAGCUGCUGUGAAGGCAAAGUAGGGCUGGUGGAUGAGUCAAAUUUUAAAAUUUAAACCUUAGACCAUUGGUAGCUCUCAGUUUACAUCAAUUUCAGCUAGCAGAAAUAUUGCAUAGAUUUUGCAAAAACAUUACACUAAUACAAUUAGACUAAUUUAUCUUAAAAUCCAUUUUUCCUUCUCACCCACAAUUAACUGGCUUUUCAGAGAACCUGCAAACUGCUUUUCAGAGAACCUCUUGAGUUCACAGAAAUAGGUAAGAUAAGAUAGACCAUUGUCAAGGAAAUCAGUAAACAUAACACAUAAAGGCUUAUGAUACUCAGUAGUGGCAGAAAUAUCACAAUCAACUUAACAUAAGAAUGAAUGAAGUAGAGCUUGCUCUCAUGCCUAAUGCAUUUAGCCAUCCAUAAGCAGCACUUUUGCAGAGGUGGGAAGAUUCAGUUGCUCAUGACCAAUUUUAUGUUCAAUUAAUAUAAUAACUGCUAAUUUAGGAAUUCAAUGUCAGAGCAAGUUUGGUCUGGAGCAGUUUACAGAAAGGGAAAAAAACAUGUCACUAGUAUAAAUAUAUUCACAAAUACAACAGAAUAAACAGAAUAAUUACAACUGAAACCUCAUCUUCACAGGGAUGAGUUAUAAGAUUAAUGAGGUUGAAUUCCUACACAGAACCAGAGCUUUGGGCUCCCUGUUCAGAAACAUGCACGCGCACGCACACACACACAGGCUCGUCUUGUGUAUUUCACAGAACAAAGGACUAAACAAAGAAAACUUCAUAUGAAUCCCAAAGAAUUUUAUAACAUUUUAAAUAUGUCAGCCAUAAACUCAGUUAAGAAAGUAGUUUAAACAGAACAACCUUAUCACAGUUAUCCAUGAAAACAACCUGUAAUUCUAUAUUACCUUUCCAUAUCACAAUCUUAUAACUUACUGGUGCUUUUCAAGCAUUUUUCUUUUUGUUGUUGUUAACAACCUCAACCCAAAAUCUUUUUACGUGUUUCCUUCUAGUUUUUUUUUCUUUUGUCUGCAAUUCCCAUAUGCAUUCCUUCAAAACUCCAUUUUCUUUCCUCUUUUCCAACUCAAGUAGUUGAAGAGAGAUAGAAAAAAAAGAAAAAGAGAACAAAAGCAGCCUUUUGUUCAGAUAAACUUUUGCAGCUAGAACAGUGUUAUCUUUUGGCUUGGUUACAACAGGACAGUGACAGAGACUGUUUGCAGACUGUUUGCAACACACGGGCAAAGCUUGGAAGCAACUUGGAAACAGAACACAGAGAGAGAAAUGAUUUUUGCAAAAGACAAUCAUUCUUCCUUCCUUAACACUUAUAAAACAGAGGCAAGUGCAAAAGGAUGUUAUUUUCGGAGUCAUGAGGCCUUUGACUCGAUUUCAUAGUGGCCAAACUUUCAUACAAAGGCAUUUCAAAACAUAUUUUCUAAGAGCACUCUUUGCUCCCAUGAUAAUCACCCAAUUUUUCAACACACACUCCAAAGGUGUACAUGAAAUCUGUUCAGAUUUUGUGUACUUGCUAUUUCUGCUACCCAUAGCCCCCCCCUUUGAGUUGGUCGGGCUUAGACUGUUUCCUUCCCAGGCAGCCCUACUUCGGCUGUGGGGUUUUUUUGUUUUGUCUCUCUCUCUCUCUUUCCCCCUUCUCGAGCUGAAAGAUUAAACCGCCCCUCCUUGGGCUUUUUUGGUGGCUUAAAUUGCCCCCCCCCUCGGGAUUUUGGCUUAAUUUGCCCCUGCUUGGGCAGCCCUUCUUCGGCUGUAGGAUUUCCCCCCUUUUCUCGGGAUGAAAGAUUGCCCCUCCCUGGGCUUUCCCCCCCCCAUUGCCCCUCUUGGGCUGAGGAGAACCAAAAGACGUCUUUGGAUUUCACUCUCUUACUCACUCAAUCUCUCUGUUCACACUUUCAUUCACUCUUGCCUCAAUUCCCAGAUGUGGCGUGUUGUGACGACUGGCGCAUCCCGGGCCCAUGAGAAUCCUCCACAGACAAAAGCUGUGGGGCGCGCUGGAUCUCACUGUCCCGUGACGGGUCAGACUGUCCACCCAGAGUCACAUCCGAGUCACGGCACCAAAUUGAUGUGAAUUUGGUUCAUCCCUGGGUCCGCCUUAAGCCAAUCAAACAGACACAGUGGGAAUCAAUUAGAGGCUUGGUUUAAUGCUCUGCAGAAGCAGAUAGACAAUGGGGCUCACGCAUCACAUUGAAUACAAAUUGGUUAUAGGUGCAUCUUACAUUUAUACAGACAAUCUGAAUAAUGCUGACAUAGUAGUCAGUCAUGUUUAUUUACGGUCAUAGACCAAAAUUUACAUACAUAAUAAUACACGUAAUAUAGUAAUAAUAUAUACAUAAUAUAAUCAGGAACAUGGACUCAUCCUAAUCAGCAAUUUCCCGUUAGCAUAAUCUGAUUUACCAUCUGUUGUCUAGCCUUCUUAGCUGCCUCACAGAACUUAGCAACUUUAAAUGUUACUUCCUCCUUCUGAUCUGAGAGCAGAUAGUUGACGUAAAAUGCAUCUAUAUGCCCUGGGAAAUCAGUCAGUAAGGAGGAAAUAUAACAAGUUCGUAAGUCCCUAUAAAAAAGACAGCGGAGUAAGAUAUGGAAGAUAGACUCCUGUUCUCCAGAGCCACAAGGACAUAGUCUCUGUUCUUUUGGGAUGCUGACAUAGUAUACAUGGCAGUAAAAUGGUGGACUAAGUAUCUAGUACGCAUGCGAAUGAUUCAUUGUUCAUCUGGUGAUCACUCCUUAUUUGGUUACAUCCUGUUUUAUUAACUUGUCAGCAAAGAACAAUGAGAAUCUUGUGAGAACCAAGUUUCAUAGAUACAUUUUAGUGGAGAGAGAUUAUGACAUUGGCUGUGAUGUCUCUGAGCUUGGCUGGGGUUACUUUAAGUUAGAAUUAGGUUUUCUAAGCAAAUUUGGAGAUGCUUUGGUAUUCUAUGUAAAAUGGAGUUACUUUGGUUUACUCAAACACAUCAACGGUGACCCUCCUCCGUCGGCAGUUUCGCUCGCUCCGGCCAGCUCUCAGAUCCUCCCUGCCCCGGUCUCGGCGGACUGGUCUCCGUCCGAGCAGGCAGUUGGAGAGGCUCCGCGUUCGAUCGCGCCCCCCUCGGGCUGCGAGUUUGCGAGCACGACGGAGAGGACGAGGCCGCUUGAUCACCCCAGGCUCUCAACGCGCAGCUCAGCGGCAGAGCGGGCAACGUUGAGAGAUUAACAGAGCAGCUUUGCUUGGGUGCAGAGUCCCUCCGUGUCACCGGCCGUUUGCCUCCCCGAUCCUACCUCAGCGGCCGAAAGACCAUCCGAGCGGACGGAGCGAGAGGGCCUCAGUUUGUUCCCGCCACUGAGCGGUGAAAAAUGGGCCUUGCUAAGGAGGGAGCAUUCCGCUGCUUUACCUCCUGUCUCUUUCUUUAGUUCAGUUCCUUUGUGUUCCAUAUAUAUAUAUAUAUAUAUAUAUAUAAACACAAAACAAAAAACCCCCAAAACCUCAACAGACGGUGGUGAGAUCUGAUCAACGUAUGGGGGGUGCGGGGACCUCUGAGAGGAAUGUUUCUGUGGCGAUUCCUAAACAGGUCCCGCCCGAGUGGCAAGCAGGGCUAAAGAGUGCCAUAGUAGAUACUGUCUACCAAUUAAAGCCACUAAAGCAGUUAGAAAAGCUAUUUCAGGGCAUUCUCCAGAACUUUCAGGGGAAUCAGCUUGAAGUGGCUGUGAAGAGUGUUUUGAGAGGCUCCCUGUUGCCAACGCCCCACCAACCUCUGAGGAGAUUAGGCGGAUUGGCGAGCUGGCUAGCAACCUGAGCGGCAGGGCAGCGAGGCCAUCACAGGCAUCUCCUGCCCUUCCUAAGAUGGCGACGGUUGCGAAGAAUCCCUCCAUUUUACCUGAAGGAGCUGGUAAUGUAAAAGGGAGACAGUCUCUAAAAGGGCGGGAAAAGCCUAGGACUGUGAUGAUGGUGUUUGGCCAGCAGGGGGAGUCUGCUGCAGAGACGGGGCCUCAAGAAGCCUCCAGUUCUAACUCUGCUGUUCUACCGAAGUCUGUGCCGCCACCUGAGUAGCAAGCAUGGUUUCGCAAUGCAGUCAUUGGCACCAUCUACCAGAUUAGGCCCCCUAAGAGGACAGACCACUACAGAUAUGUGGAGGACACCAAACGCGGAUGCCCUCAUUUCGCAAGUGGUGUCGGAUUCCCUGGUAUCUCGAGAGGAAGAAAGAACAUGAUGGUCCAUAUGCCGUCCAGGGUCAGGUUAUCGCUUCGGGGGUGGAGAUCCCCACAGAACUUGUCCAGAAGGAAGAGAUUCUUAAGGUUCCUGAGAACGAUCGUGAUGACGGACACCAGCAACAGAGGUUGGGGAGCUCAUUGUCUCCAAUUCUCGGUCCAAGGGAAAGGAAGUCAGGAAGAAGAGUGGAUCCCCCCCCCCAGUCCCCAGCCAGGACCUACAACAAGCUAAGCUCUAAUGCAUGAUGAAAGGCCCAGCUGGUGUCUGGAGCUCUCCCCCAUAGCUCGUGGGGCCUUCCAGGUAAAUCUGGAGGGCACAGCUGCCCCUUCCAGGGGGAAGCCAAGUCAACCAGCAGCAGCAGCAGCACCGGCAGCCUCAUGCACCGCCACUCCGGCUCGAAGCCGCCACGGGAGAAGGUCGUGGAAACGGCGGCUCUGACUCCGCGCAGGCAGGCUUGGCAGCCACGCGCCUCGUGGUGCCAGAGAUCUCGCUCUCACUCUUCUUUCUUCGCUCCUCCCCUCCACUUCCUCCUCUCAGAUCCGCCUCCCAAUUCGCAGGAUUGGACCCUCUGGGCUUCCUCCCCCCUCCUCCUCCUCCGGCCAUGCUGCCUUCCCGUCCCCGCCUCCCGGUCCCAACAGCAUCCCCAGCUCCUCUCGCUCAUUGGCUGAGCCAUUAAGGCCGCGUGCCCACACACACUCAGAGUCACACACCCCUCCCGCAAAGCCUGGCCUCCUCUCCGGGGGGGGGGCAGAUCUGCCCUUUAGGGGCUGGGUGGGGACUUAAUAGGAAUAGGGUCAGCGGGGCGCAAGUGUGGGUGCUGCAGCGGGGCGCGACCUCCCCAGCCCUGCAGGUGGACGAGGAAGGAGCAAUCAAUGGGGAAAGUCUCUCUCUGUGUGUGUGUGUGUGUUGCAAACAGCAAGAUGCAUUCUUCCCCGGGCGGGCAGCACCUUUUCAGCCCCAAGCAGGAAAGAUCCCUGGCUCCUCCAGGCUGCUUCUGAGGACCGGGAGAGAAGCUGGAGGAAGGGGAGAAGAAAUCUGUCUCCUUCCUUUAGCAGCGGCUGCUAAUUCUCUGAUGAAAGGGUACGCAAGUGGGGGGGGGGGCUGCACUCCUCCUCCUCCUCCUCCUCCUCCGCAUGCCAUCCUGCAGGGGGAUUUGUGCACAGGGAAGGAUUCAGGCAUGGGAUUCUGCCCAGACUGACCCUUCAUUCUGGAAUGGGAUGGAGAUGCUCAGGGCCAUCCAUUUCUCCGUCCUUUCUCUGCUCACAUGGUCCAGAGCACCAUGUGGGUGCAGUUUGGAAGGCAGGCACAGAAGGUCCAUCGGGCUCAGCAUUGUCUACAGAAGGAAGCCAGCGUGGUGUAGUGGUUAGAGUGCUGGACCAGGACCGGGGAGACCCGAGUUCCAAUCCCCAUUCAGCCAUGAGACUAGCUGGGUGGCUCUGGGCCAGUCACUUCUCUCUCAGCCUCGCCUACUUCACAGGGUUGUUGUGAGGAGAAACUCAAGUAUGUAGUACACUGCUCUGGGCUCCUUGGAGGAAGAGUGGGAUAUAAAAUGUAAUAAAUAAAAUAAAAUAAAAAGAAGGGCUGCUGCACAACUGAAGCCUUCCUGUUGGUUUUGGACUACAACUCCCAGCAUCCCUGGACACAUAAGCCAAUAGUCAGGGAUGAUGGGAGUUGUAGGCCGACCUCCGCAGCUCUUAAGCCGGAAGAGGCCAGAAGGACCCCUUGUAAACCAAACUGGAUCCCCAAAGGAGAGGGAUGGGUGAGAGGCGAUGGAGAGCAAGAUUGGAGCUGCUUCAAGGUGCUCCUACUGACCUGUAUUUCCAAUGCUCCCACCCAUGUCUUAGAGGCAAUUGGAUUCCAAGCUGCACAGACAGAAAGAGAGGUUUCCCCUUCCAGUGCCCAUACGGCAACCUUAGAUUAGAGGGGUCCUUCUCUAAAUUUUUCGGACAUGGCAUGGUCUAUCUGGUCCUGAGAAGAAAACCUGGCUGUGCUUAAGGCAGUCACAGUUCGUGAAGAAACUUGUGUAGUCCACCAGCUUGCAAGCAAACGUUCUGUGAGCUUAGCAAAGCUAUUGAGAAACAGCUUUGGAAAUUAAAGGUCCCAUUCCCUUAUUAAAAUCAGAAAAAAGUUGAAAUCAUGCUCCCCUCGCCUUUCUUUUCUUUUUCCCCACGUAGGAGAUCAGGAAAUGUCUGGAUCCCCUCUGUGAUUCUCCGUGGUGCAUUGGAUGGAGGAAAGGCUUAGUCGGCAAUAGUUUCGGACUCACUUGAUACAUUGAGCCGUUUUGCAAAUUCAAAGCUGCAUCUGACAGAUUCCUGUAUGUACAAGUGAGGAACUGAUGUCGUGUGAGAAGCAGGAAAGGGAGUAUUUUAUGAGCCUGCGGGACUUGGCCGAGCCUCGUGCUGAGUUGCUGCAGCUGCCUGCUCAUCACCGCAACAUGCUGGAGGUGGGCGCGGAAGAUCAUGAGAUCUUCUUGUCCUGCAAGGAAGGGAAACCAAUGGGACAAAGGGGCUUCUUGCCACCCUACCAGGUGCGACCUUGACCUUCUGGACCCUGCCCCUGUCCACACUUUGUUCUUGUUAACAAAUCAGGUUAUCCAUUUAUCUUCUUAAAUUGUGCUCCAGCUUUUAAUCUGGGCUCUUUUUCCCCCAUCAGGCACCACCAAUAAAUUUUCUGCUGGGUUUCACCUCAUUUUUCUUCUUCCAAGUCACACGUGUGCUGUAAGGAAGAGAGAAAACUGGUCAGAGCCCCGGUUAGCAAGUGAGGGCAGAGCUGGUCUUGUGGUAGCAAGCAUGACUUGUCACCUUAGGUAAGCAGAGUCCAUCCUGGUUGCAUAUGAAUGGGAGACUUGAUGUGUGAGCACUGGAAGAGAUUCCGCUCAGGAGAUGGAGCCACUCUCGGAAUUGAAGAAUUCCCUCCCUGGCAGCAUCUCCAAGAUAAGACAGAGAGAUACUCCUGCUUGCAACCCUCGAGAAGCCACUAGACAAUACUGAGCUAGAUGGACCAAUGGUCUGACUCAGUUUAUGGCAGCUUCCUAUGAGGGGAGCCUUAAGGAGUUAGGAAAGGGGGAAACAGCAUUUUUGCCAGCCUGCGUUCCUCGGAGGAAGGGAAGGAUAGAAAUGUCCAACAUACGUCUGUCUGUAACCCGCAUAUUCCUCUUGAUUACUAGCCACAUGUGCUUUGAUUCUAAGCAUGUAGACUGAGAAGCAAAUUUGAAGGGAUGUCCCAGAGGAAAACCUGAAGCAUAUUUAACUGAUGCAACCCCAAAAGGCAAUUUGAACCCCAAACCAAAGCACACAUCACACAAAUGCCUUCAGCAGCAGCACAGAUCAGUCAUCAAAUGACUGUGUACAAAUCCUGUUGGAUCCAUGGAGGGAAGAGAGAAAGAAACCUCCCUUCUGUGAUGGCCUCUACCACACUUCAGGUUAAGUUACCCCUUCUCGGCACCAUGGAUCAUUCCGCUACGGCAGCCGUGUUCAAGGCUGGUGAAAUCUCCUUAGUGCUGGUAAAUGUGUAUGAAGCACCGAUUCGAAUCCACGCCCAGGCAAGCAUGAUCUGGUCCGGACUGGAGGCCUUUAUAGGCGAUAUACAGUCUACCCAUCAUGGAGUUUACUUAAGAAGGGCUGGAGACUUUAACGCUCGAAUUGGAAUAGACUCUUCUUGCCAAAUUCCAGCAGUGUCCUCCCGAUCAGGUUGUGCCUCCCCCUCUCCUAAUCAGACAAUCUAAAGAUAUAGUGGGGAGCUCCUGUGCUCUGAAUUUCCUCCAGACCUGAAGCCGGGCAGAUUUGCACUUCUUGAAUGGGGCGGUUUUGAGCGACUCCCCAGCAGAAUUCACUCAUUGGGUGGGCUCCCAACCUCCACUUAUCGAUUUCACAGCCACAUCCCGUAAUUUAGCUCCCCAUAGAAGGAAAUUCCACAUUAUUAGUCGCCCGGAAAGUGAUCGCUUCCCAAUGAACUUGAGCAUAUGCUGGAAGGGGAAACUCCAUCUCGACAGGAAUCAGGCCCCAGUUAGAGAGCGGGAGCAAAGUCCACUCCGUGUGAAAUGGUCUUCCAGUCAACAAAAUCUAGUCGCCCCGAUUCUAAAUUCACCCCAAGUGUGCAUUCUACAAACUGCUUUAAUUAUCGGUUGGCAUGAUUCUUGCGAGAGCCCGAAGUUAGAACACUAUAACAGUUUAUGUGAAGACUUUCAUGGGAAGACUUUAAUUCAGGUUUUUAUGUGAUGGUCUCCAUUGCUGCUUAGGAACAUAGAAGCCAUAUACUUCUGCCAUAUACUGAGUCAGACCAUUGGUCCAGCGAGCUCAGUAUUGUCUUCACAAACUGGCAGCGGCUUCUCCAAGGUUGCAGGCAGGAAU